RNAcentral lists this ribosomal RNA (366 nucleotides) under Blastocystis sp. subtype 5. RNAcentral's name for it is "bacterial SSU rRNA". It matches the Rfam family "Eukaryotic small subunit ribosomal RNA", at positions 517 to 893 of the family's 1831-position model. The record is from RNAcentral. Lineage: Eukaryota; Bigyra; Opalinata; Blastocystidae.
AGAACAAUGUACAAAUGUUAUCGAUAAACAAUUGGAGGGCAAGUCUGGUGCCAGCAGCCGCGGUAAUUCCAGCUCCAAUAGCGUAUAUUAACGUUGUUGCAGUUAAAAAGCUCGUAGUUGAAAUGUGGGAUGAAGUAUAUGAUGAAUUUAAUAUUCAAUUAUAUAUUGAUUCCCCUCUCCAAUUUAUUAUUAUGGGUAUUAAUUUAUUUGUAAUAAGAAUUGGUCAUUUACUGUGAGAAAAUUAGAGUGUUCAAAGCAGGCAUUUGCUUGAAUAGAUUAGCAUGGAAUAAUACUAAAAGGCUUUUAUGGUCGAUUUAAUUGGUUUGUUCAUAAAAGCAAGAUUAAAAGGAACAGUUGGGGGUAUUC